GUCCUGAGGGCCUUGGUCUGCCCGCUGCUUCACCUCCUUGAAUGUGUACUCCUGCAGGAGGGUGCCAUCCUCAAAGAUGGGUACCAGCAGAUCCUGGGGGGACAUGCCAUGGGCUAGGGUGGGACAUGCCAUGGGCUAGGGUAAUCGACAUUGUGCAGGAGAGAGAUGGAUGGGUGGAUGGUGUCAACUUAGACCUGAAGAAAGCAUUUGACAAAGUACCACACCGAAGAUUGCUAAGGAAAAUAAAAAAUUAUGGAAAAAUUGGAGGAAGACUGCUGGAGUGGAUGGAGGAUUAUCUGGAUGAUAGAGAUGAGAACAGUAAUACAAGACCAGAAUUCAUCUUGGCUGAAAGUAACUAGUGAUGUUCCACAGGGGUCAGUGUUGGGACCGUUAAUGUUUGUAAUAUAUGUGAAUGACAUAAAUAAAGAAAUAAACAGUUACAUGAACUUAUUUGCAGAUGAUGCUAAGCUGAUGAGAAGGGUAGAAAAUAUAAAUGACUGUAUGGUACUGCAAGAUGAUUUAAAUAAGAUAAAUAGAUGGAGUAAAUCUUGGCAAAUGUUAUUCAGUUUAAGUAAAUGUAAAGUAAUGGAGUUUGGUAAGAGUAAGAAAAGAAUACAGUAUCAUUAUGAGAUGGAUGGUGUGAAGUUACAGAAAUCAAAAAAAGUAACAGUUACUGAAAACUUGACUUCGGACAGACACAUUGCUAAAAUUACUGGAGAGACGAUGAAUUUGUUAAAAGAAUAAGAAUGACAUUCUUAUAUGUAGAUGAAGGAAUGAUAAAAAGUUGUUGAUUUCCAUGAUAAGACCACGACUGGAAUAUGUAGCAGUGAUGUGGUCUCCUUAUGUAAAGAGGAAUAUUAUAAAAUUUGAAAGAGUACAGAGCAGUCACUAAGAUGAAUUCAGAGUUGAGUAAGUUGACUUAUGGAGAGAUUAAGAAUGUUGGAAAUUCCUACCCUUGAAAAUAGGAGAGAGAGAGAGGAGAUUUAAUAAACAUUUUAUAGAAAGAUAAAUGGUAUGGAAAAUGUGGACAAAGAAUGUUUUAUAAACUUGGACAUGCAGAGUACAAGGGGAUACAGUAAGAAGUUGAAGAAAGUUAACUGUAGAAGAGUCAUCAAAAAGUAUAAUAGUUUUCUUCACAGAAGUGUGAACAAAUGAAAUGAACUAAGUGAAAAUGUUGUCAAUGCCAUAACUGACCAUGCUUUUAAGACCAAACUGGAUAGGUAUAGAGAGUACACACACACACACACACACACACACACACACACACACAUUGCUAAAGGAAAGGGAGGUGUAAUGAUAAUGGCAAGAAAAGAGGCACAGACAAAAAUAGUGAAAUAUGGAGAAGGAAAUGCAGAAAUAGUGAGUGUUAACUUGGAGGAUAAUAAUGGAGAAAUACUAAUGGUAAUAACAACCUAUGUACUACCCCAAACAAAUUCUUGGAGCAAGGAAGAAUACAAGAAAAUAAUGGAAGAUACCAUUCAGUGUUUGAGUGAAUUAAUCAAAAGUAUUAAAAGAGUAUUAUUAGUUGGUGACUUCAAUUCCAAAGAAGUAAAUUGGAAAAUUUUGGAGAAAGAAGAAAUGAGACUGUAUGGGAAGAAAGAUUUCUGAAGCUGACUAUGGAAAACUCAAUGAUGCACUGGGUGACUAAAAAUACAAGAUAUUCAGGAGAUGAUGAACCAGCAAGACUAGACCUAAUACUAAGAAAGGGUAUGGACCUAACUAAAGAAUUAAGAUAAGUGUGCCCCAUUGGAAAAAGUGACCAUGUAAUGACAGAAAUAGAGACUGAUAAUGAUGUCAGUGAAGAGGAUGAAUCAUACAAAGAAAAGAGAAAAACUAUGGAAAACCAAAUAAAGAUGACCUUAAGAAAUUUUAUGAAGAAAUGGACUACAAAAAGCUGAAAAGAGCAAAUGAUGUGCAAGAUAAGUUUGACAUUUUUAUGGAAAUAAAUGUCCCAUUAUAAAAACCUAAAGAAAAAGGAAAAUAGGUGUGGUUCAAUGCAAGAUGUGCAAGUGCAAAAAAAAAUUGCACAAAAGAAAAAACAAAGAAUGGGUAAGAAUAAAAAGAAAUCAAAACCAUAAAAAUAAAGAAGAAAUAAAUAUGUGAAAGUAAGGAGAGAGGAAGAGAAACAAUAUGAAAA
This is a long non-coding RNA of Scylla paramamosain (green mud crab), 2137 nucleotides long. RefSeq lists it as uncharacterized. The transcript has 2 exons. The record is from RefSeq and is a predicted model, not a curated record. NCBI's taxonomy places the organism in Eukaryota, Metazoa, Arthropoda, Malacostraca, Decapoda, Portunidae.